Molecule: ribosomal RNA, 240 nt
Filed under: uncultured bacterium
Lineage: Bacteria
Description: partial 16S ribosomal RNA
Rfam family: Bacterial small subunit ribosomal RNA
Source: RNAcentral
UAGGUAAUCUGCCCUCGAUUCUGGGAUAGCCCGGGGAAACCCGGAUUAAUACCGGAUAGCCUCUCGAGCUUUCGAGCUUGUGAGAAAAGGUAGCUUCGGCCUCCGAUCGAGGAUGAGCCCGCGGCGGAUUAGCUUGUUGGUGGGGUAAUGGCCUACCAAGGCGACGAUCCGUAGCUGGUCUGAGAGGACGAUCAGCCACACUGGGACUGAGACACGGCCCAGACCUCCGUACGGGAGCAG